CACCAAUCAAGCCUGGCUUGGUAUUGGGCCACGGGGGCGACCCGGGCCCCAAAGUCGCCGGCUGGAAAGCUCUGAUCUCAGCGUCGUGGAAUCCAUUCGCCGACGAGAGGAGCGAUUCGUGCCGUUAACAUCUCUUCGAAAGG
Molecule: unclassified non-coding RNA, 143 nt
Filed under: uncultured Capnodiales
Lineage: Eukaryota; Fungi; Ascomycota; Dothideomycetes; Capnodiales
Description: sequence contains ITS2
Source: RNAcentral